This is a long non-coding RNA of Archocentrus centrarchus (flier cichlid), 309 nucleotides long. RefSeq lists it as uncharacterized. Lineage: Eukaryota; Metazoa; Chordata; Actinopteri; Cichliformes; Cichlidae. The transcript has 3 exons. The record is from RefSeq and is a predicted model, not a curated record.
AAGCGGCAGAGUCCCGUAUGGAGGUUCUUUGAGUACAAACACCUGCACACGACCACAAGGUUUGCCACGUUUACCACUAUGGUGGUGAUGGACUCAGUCAGGAACAGGUCAAAGCAGGAUUUGAUCAUCAAUCCAGGAUACAGCAUAUUGUAUGCUGAAGGCCAGUGGAGGUGACUGGGUGCCUUUGGUGGUGGGAUUUACUUCUGUGUGCUGUGGACAUCUAUGCAUCCCUGGUUUAAGCUCACCUUAGUAUGUGUGGGUGUGAAUUGGUGAUUCUUUGGACUUCUCUCCAUCUGGCAUCCCAUUCUC